CCAAUCCUGAUGUGUGCGUUUAUCUUACCAUAUCGUUUUGACCGAACAUUUAAGUUACGGGAGCUUGCGUUUUCGAACAGAGUACACGCCUUUAGUAUAAAGGACUUACAAAAUUCGAAACAGGGCACCCACCUGCCAAGUAGCGGGUUCAAAACUUUGGAUUUCUGACGGCACUAUUGGGAUUGGU
Molecule: non-coding RNA, 187 nt
Filed under: Pontibacillus litoralis JSM 072002
Lineage: Bacteria; Bacillati; Bacillota; Bacilli; Caryophanales; Bacillaceae
Description: 6S / SsrS RNA
Rfam family: 6S / SsrS RNA
About the family: E. coli 6S RNA was the first non coding RNA to be sequenced, but its function was unknown until recently. It consists of 184 nucleotides that fold into an extended hairpin structure with a large single-stranded internal bulge.
Source: Rfam by way of RNAcentral